AGAGUUUGAUCAUGGCUCAGAAUCAACGCUGGCGGCGUGCCUAACACAUGCAAGUCGAACGCGGUUGCCAUUGCUUCGCAAGAAGCAGCGGCGACUGAGUGGCGAACGGGUGAGUAACACGUGGGUGACCUGCCUUCGAGUGGGGGAUAACAUUCCGAAAGGAGUGCUAAUACCGCAUGACAUCCUGCCUUUGAACAGGCGGUGAUUAAAGCCGGGGAUCGUAAGACCUGGCGCUUGAAGAGGGGCCCGCGUCCGAUUAGCUAGUUGGUGGGGUAACGGCCUACCAAGGCGACGAUCGGUAGCCGGCCUGAGAGGGCGGACGGCCACACUGGGACUGAGACACGGCCCAGACUCCUACGGGAGGCAGCAGUGGGGAAUUGUUCGCAAUGGGCGCAAGCCUGACGACGCAACGCCGCGUGGAGGAUGAAGAUUUUCGGAUCGUAAACUCCUUUCGAUCGGGACGAAUGGCUGGAGACCUAACACGUCUUCAGAGUGACGGUACCGAGAGAAGAAGCCCCGGCUAACUCCGUGCCAGCAGCCGCGGUAAUACGGGGGGGGCAAGCGUUGUUCGGAAUUACUGGGCGUAAAGGGCGCGUAGGCGGCCUGCUAAGUCACACGUGAAAUCCCUCGGCUCAACCGGGGAACUGCGUGUGAUACUGGCGGGCUCGAAUUCGGGAGAGGGAUGUGGAAUUCCAGGUGUAGCGGUGAAAUGCGUAUAUAUCUGGAGGAACACCGGUGGCGAAUGCGGCAUCCUGGACCGAGAUUGACGCUGAGGCGCGAAAGCUAGGGUAGCAAACGGG
RNAcentral lists this ribosomal RNA (800 nucleotides) under uncultured bacterium. RNAcentral's name for it is "bacterial SSU rRNA". It matches the Rfam family "Bacterial small subunit ribosomal RNA", at positions 8 to 776 of the family's 1533-position model. The record is from RNAcentral.